RNAcentral lists this ribosomal RNA (422 nucleotides) under uncultured Bacteroidota bacterium. RNAcentral describes it as "uncultured Bacteroidetes bacterium partial 16S ribosomal RNA". It matches the Rfam family "Bacterial small subunit ribosomal RNA", at positions 355 to 774 of the family's 1533-position model. The record is from RNAcentral. Lineage: Bacteria; Pseudomonadati; Bacteroidota.
UAGGGAAUAUUGGUCAAUGGGCGCGAGCCUGAACCAGCCAUGCCGCGUGCAGGAAGACGGCCCUAUGGGUUGUAAACUGCUUUUAUACGGGGGUAACACUCUCUACGUGUAGGGAGAUGAAAGUACCGUAAGAAUAAGGAUCGGCUAACUCCGUGCCAGCAGCCGCGGUAAUACGGAGGAUCCAAGCGUUAUCCGGAUUUAUUGGGUUUAAAGGGUGCGCAGGCGGAUGUAUAAGUCAGUGGUGAAAUUUUAUCGCUUAACGAUAAGACUGCCAUUGAUACUGUAUGUCUAGAGUUUAGUUGACGUUGGCGGAAUAUGUCAUGUAGCGGUGAAAUGCGUAGAUAUGACAUAGAACACCGAUAGGGAAGCCAGCUGACGAAACUACAACUGACGCUCAUGCACGAAAGCGUGGGGAUCAAACA